GGGAAUGUAGAUCACUGGUACAGCGCAUACCUAGCAUGAGCGAGGCCCUGAGUUCAAUCCCCAGCAUUACAA
RNAcentral lists this transfer RNA (72 nucleotides) under Marmota monax (woodchuck). RNAcentral describes it as "tRNA.Ala". The record is from RNAcentral. Lineage: Eukaryota; Metazoa; Chordata; Mammalia; Rodentia; Sciuridae.